RNAcentral lists this ribosomal RNA (442 nucleotides) under uncultured bacterium. RNAcentral describes it as "bacterial SSU rRNA". It matches the Rfam family "Bacterial small subunit ribosomal RNA", at positions 338 to 795 of the family's 1533-position model. The record is from RNAcentral.
CCUACGGGUGGCUGCAGUGGGGAAUAUUGGGCAAUGGGCGCAAGCCUGACCCAGCAACGCCGCGUGAAGGAAGAAGGCUUUCGGGUUGUAAACUUCUUUUGUCAGGGAAGAGCAGAAGACUGUACCUGACGAAUAAGCUCCGGCUAACUACGUGCCAGCAGCCGCGGUAAUACGUAGCGAGCAAGCGUUGUCCGGAUUUACUGGGUGUAAAGGGCGUGUAGGCGGGAUUGCAAGUCAGAUGUGAAAUUCCGGGGCUCAACCCCGGAACUGCAUUUGAAACUGUAGUUCUUGAGUACUGGAGAGGCAGGCGGAAUUCCUAGUGUAGCGGUGAAAUGCGUAGAUAUUAGGAGGAACACCAGUGGCGAAGGCGGCCUGCUGGACAGCAACUGACGCUGAGGCGCGAAAGCGUGGGGAGCAAACAGGAUUAGAUACCCCAGUAGUC